Molecule: long non-coding RNA, 1161 nt
Filed under: Zonotrichia albicollis (white-throated sparrow)
Lineage: Eukaryota; Metazoa; Chordata; Aves; Passeriformes; Passerellidae
Description: lncRNA (ENSZALG00000008052.1)
Source: RNAcentral
AUGACUGGGGAGGGAAUUUCCAACAUUUCCCAGCAAAUUCUGAUUAUUUCUGUUCAAAAGCUGAGCCAGGAAAGCAGAGCUGGUCCGGGAAAAGGUGAAAAAUCUGAAUUUCCACACAAUGAAAAAUCUGAAUUUCCACAAAAUGAAAAAUCUUCACUUUGGGUCAGAAAUGAUCCAAACCUGGCACGAAAAAUGGUGAGAAUCCUGAAAUUUGAACCUGAAAUUUGAACCUGAAAUUUUCACCUGAAAUUUAAACCUGAAAUUUUCACCUGAAAUUUAAACCUGAAAUUUGAACCUGAAAUUGGAACCUGAAAUUUCCACCUGAAAUUUGAACCUGAAAUUUUCACCUGAAAUUUGAACCUGAAAUUUAAACCUCAAAUUUAAACCUGAGAUUUUCACCUGAAAUUUUCACCUGAAAUUUUCACCUGAAAUUUUCACCUGAAAUUUAAACCUGAAAUUUGAACCUGAAAUUUAAACCUGAAAUUUCAACCUGAAAUUUCCACCUGAAAUUUUCACCUGAAAUUUUCACCUGAAAUUUUCCCCUGAAAUUUAAACCUGAAAUUUGAACCUGAAAUUUGAACCUGAAAUUUAAACCUGAAAUUUGAACCUGAAAUUUUCACCUGAAAUUUAAACCUGAAAUUUUCACCUGAAAUUUUCACCUGAAAUUUUCACCUGAAAUUUAAACCUGAANGGAGGAGAAUUAUUUCAGAAAAAGAGAAUUUUUAAAGCCUGACUGAAGGUUUAUAAAUUUGGUAUUUUUAUGUAUUUCUAUGUUAUUUGUAUGUAAAAUUGGAGAUAAGAAAUGUUGAUUUAUAAAUUUUAUAGAAUAAGACAUUGAGAGAAAAAUGGAAUUAGAAAUCAAAGGACAGUUUUGUAAAUAAGAAUAGAUAAUUUCAGAAAAAUAGAAUUAUGGAAGAUGGAUUGUGAAAUAAUUUUAAUUAUUGGUUUUAACUUUUAAUAUAGAGUAGUUAAAGGUGAUAGAUUAAGAAACCCUUCUAAUGAAUUUUAAUUAAUUGGUUUUGAUUGUGAUGGUGUCAAUUUUAAUAUUUAAUUAUUUAAUUAAAUUUAUUUAAUUAAAUAUAAAAUUUCAUUUCAUAUUUGUAUUGUCCCACCUUUCACACGAGACUAAAAAUGGAAUAAAAGUUUUUCAAAUUCCUCUCA